This 352-nucleotide unclassified non-coding RNA is filed under the name uncultured bacterium. RNAcentral describes it as "contains 16S-23S intergenic spacer region". The record is from RNAcentral.
AUAAUCCGAGAAUUUCACCUCCAACAACGGAAUACGAAUACCCCCAACUGUCCCUAUUAAUCAUUACUUCGUAACGCAAACCAACAAAAUAGUUCCGAAGUCCUAUCUUAUUAUUCCAUGCUAAUAUAUUCAACGGCAUAAGCCUGCUUUAAACACUCUAAUUUUUUCACAGUAAACGACGGGUAUCCCCUGCCCGACAACUUAAUGCCAAACAGGAUCUCCCCGAGGAUGGCCAGAGACAACACAAGUUCACGCACAGAGUGCGUGACCGGUCGCUCCUGCCAGAAAUCCAACUACGAGCUUUUUAACUGCAACAACUUAAAUAUACGCUAUUGGAGCUGGAAUUACCGCC